Molecule: long non-coding RNA, 480 nt
Organism: Clupea harengus (Atlantic herring)
Lineage: Eukaryota; Metazoa; Chordata; Actinopteri; Clupeiformes; Clupeidae
Source: Ensembl
AGUUACCUGAGCUGAUGGACAGGUGAGGGAGUUAGACGGGAUGGAUUUACAGGAGGUCAAGGUGAGGGAGUUACAGGUGAGAGAGAGAGUCACAGCGGAGAGAGUCACAGGAGUUACAGGUGAGGGAGUCACAGGAGUUACAGGUGAGGGAGUUACAGGUGAGAGAGUCACGUGAGUUACAGGUGAGAGAAUUACAGGUGAGAGAGUCACAGGAGUUACAGGUGAGAGAGUCACAGGAGUUACAGGUGAGAGAGUUACAAGUGAGGGAGUUACAGGAGUUACAGGUGAGAGAGUCACAGGAGUUACAGGUGAGAGAGUCACAGGAGUUACAGGUGAGAGAGUCACAGGAGUUACAGGUGAGAGAGUCACAGGAGUCACAGGUGAGAGAGUUACAAGUGUGAGAGUCACAGGAGUUACAGGUGAGAGAGUCACAGGAGUUACAGGUGAGAGAGUUACAGGUGAGGGAGUUACAGGAGUUAC